UCUUGGACCAGAAGACUUCGAAGAUCCCGAAGACUUUGUUGAGUGACGCAAGCAGCCCCUUGACCAUGACUUGAAACCUUUUUUGCAUGGAAUAUAGCACCUACCUUCUUGCUAUAACUCAUGAUGACUAUGGUGACCACCUUUGUGGGUUGCCACGUUAAUUCCUCAUUGAUACUUGCAUGACAUAACUUUACUUGUGCUUAGAGUUGUGUUGUUGGGAAGUAGAUCGGUUGCUGAGUAGAUGCCACACAAAUGCGAUGGAAAUAUGCAUGGUGUCGGAAAGGAAAUGUUUUCAAAGACUUUUCGAAAACCCCGUCGGGUGCCACUAAUGCUCGAGGGAGAUGGUGUUGAGCUAGGUAACCAGUUAAGAAAGAAGUGGUGUACCGAGGCAAGUGAGUGUGUGGUUUUGGAAUACAGAUCGGUUUAAGUUACAACCACGAUACCCCUUAUGGGGCGGGGCUUUGUUGAUUACUAUGGUUGGU
Molecule: long non-coding RNA, 482 nt
Filed under: Hordeum vulgare
Lineage: Eukaryota; Viridiplantae; Streptophyta; Magnoliopsida; Poales; Poaceae
Description: long non-coding RNA (HVUL_LNC004125)
Source: RNAcentral